AUUGAACGCUGGCGGCAGGCCUAACACAUGCAAGUCGAGCGGAUGAAGGGAGCUUGCUCCUGGAUUCAGCGGCGGACGGGUGAGUAAUGCCUAGGAAUCUGCCUGGUAGUGGGGGAUAACGUCCGGAAACGGGCGCUAAUACCGCAUACGUCCUGAGGGAGAAAGUGGGGGAUCUUCGGACCUCACGCUAUCAGAUGAGCCUAGGUCGGAUUAGCUAGUUGGUGGGGUAAAGGCCUACCAAGGCGACGAUCCGUAACUGGUCUGAGAGGAUGAUCAGUCACACUGGAAAUGGGAAACGGGCCAGACCCCCACGGGGGGCAAGAGGGGGGAAAUUUUGACAAGGGGGGAAAGCCCUGUCCAGCCAAGCCCGGGGGUGGAAAAAAGGUUUUGGGUUUGAAAAGACUUUUAUGUGGGAAGAAAGGGCAGUAAUUUAAACCCUCGCUUUUUUAGCGUAACCAAAAAAAAAGCCACCGGUAACUUCGGG
This 484-nucleotide ribosomal RNA is filed under the name uncultured bacterium. RNAcentral's name for it is "partial 16S ribosomal RNA". It matches the Rfam family "Bacterial small subunit ribosomal RNA", at positions 30 to 507 of the family's 1533-position model. The record is from RNAcentral.